This 484-nucleotide ribosomal RNA is filed under the name uncultured bacterium. RNAcentral's name for it is "partial 16S ribosomal RNA". It matches the Rfam family "Bacterial small subunit ribosomal RNA", at positions 30 to 507 of the family's 1533-position model. The record is from RNAcentral.
AUUGAACGCUGGCGGCAGGCCUAACACAUGCAAGUCGAGCGGAUGAAGGGAGCUUGCUCCUGGAUUCAGCGGCGGACGGGUGAGUAAUGCCUAGGAAUCUGCCUGGUAGUGGGGGAUAACGUCCGGAAACGGGCGCUAAUACCGCAUACGUCCUGAGGGAGAAAGUGGGGGAUCUUCGGACCUCACGCUAUCAGAUGAGCCUAGGUCGGAUUAGCUAGUUGGUGGGGUAAAGGCCUACCAAGGCGACGAUCCGUAACUGGUCUGAGAGGAUGAUCAGUCACACUGGAACUGAGACACGGUCCAGACUCCUACGGGAGGCAGCAGUGGGGAAUAUUGGACAAUGGGCGAAAGCCUGAUCCAGCCAUGCCGUGUGUGUGAAGAAGGUCUUCGGAUUGUAAAGCACCUUAAGUUGGGAGGAAGGGCAGUAAGUUAAUACCUUGCUGUUUUGACGUUACCAACAGAAUAAGCACCGGCUAACUUCGUG